UACAGAGGUCUCAAGCGUUGUUCGGAUUCAUUGGGCGUAAAGGGCGCGUAGGCGGCCCUCCUUGUCGCGUGUGAAAGCCCCGGGCUCAACCUGGGAAUUGCGCGCGAAACGGGCGGGCUUGAGUUCGGGAGAGGAGCGUGGAAUUCCCAGUGUAGAGGUGAAAUUCGUAGAUAUUGGGAAGAACACCGGUGGCGAAGGCGGCCAACUGGACGAAUACUGACGCUGAGACACGAAAGCGUGGGGAGCAAACAGG
Molecule: ribosomal RNA, 253 nt
Filed under: uncultured bacterium
Lineage: Bacteria
Description: partial 16S ribosomal RNA
Rfam family: Bacterial small subunit ribosomal RNA
Source: RNAcentral